RNAcentral lists this ribosomal RNA (1346 nucleotides) under uncultured bacterium. RNAcentral's name for it is "partial 16S ribosomal RNA". It matches the Rfam family "Bacterial small subunit ribosomal RNA", at positions 28 to 1381 of the family's 1533-position model. The record is from RNAcentral.
GACGAACGCUGGCGGCGUGCUUAACACAUGCAAGUCGAACGGAAAGGCCCUGCUUUUGUGGGGUGCUCGAGUGGCGAACGGGUGAGUAACACGUGAGUAACCUGCCCUUGACUUUGGGAUAACUUCAGGAAACUGGGGCUAAUACCGGAUAGGAGCUCCUGCUGCAUGGUGGGGGUUGGAAAGUUUCGGCGGUUGGGGAUGGACUCGCGGCUUAUCAGCUUGUUGGUGGGGUAGUGGCUUACCAAGGCUUUGACGGGUAGCCGGCCUGAGAGGGUGACCGGCCACAUUGGGACUGAGAUACGGCCCAGACUCCUACGGGAGGCAGCAGUGGGGAAUAUUGCACAAUGGGCGGAAGCCUGAUGCAGCAACGCCGCGUGCGGGAUGACGGCCUUCGGGUUGUAAACCGCUUUCGCCUGUGACGAAGCGUGAGUGACGGUAAUGGGUAAAGAAGCACCGGCUAACUACGUGCCAGCAGCCGCGGUGAUACGUAGGGUGCGAGCGUUGUCCGGAUUUAUUGGGCGUAAAGGGCUCGUAGGUGGUUGAUCGCGUCGGAAGUGUAAUCUUGGGGCUUAACCCUGAGCGUGCUUUCGAUACGGGUUGACUUGAGGAAGGUAGGGGAGAAUGGAAUUCCUGGUGGAGCGGUGGAAUGCGCAGAUAUCAGGAGGAACACCAGUGGCGAAGGCGGUUCUCUGGGCCUUUCCUGACGCUGAGGAGCGAAAGCGUGGGGAGCGAACAGGCUUAGAUACCCUGGUAGUCCACGCUGUAAACGGUGGGUACUAGGUGUGGGGUCCAUUCCACGGGUUCCGUGCCGUAGCUAACGCUUUAAGUACCCCGCCUGGGGAGUACGGCCGCAAGGCUAAAACUCAAAGGAAUUGACGGGGCCCCGCACAAGCGGCGGAGCAUGCGGAUUAAUUCGAUGCAACGCGUAGAACCUUACCUGGGUUUGACAUGGAUCGGGAGUGCUCAGAGAUGGGUGUGCCUCUUUUGGGGUCGGUUCACAGGUGGUGCAUGGCUGCCGUCAGCUCGUGUCGUGAGAUGUUGGGUUAAGUCCCGCAACGAGCGCAACCCUUGUUCACUGUUGCCAGCACGUUAUGGUGGGGACUCAGUGGAGACCGCCGGGGUCAACUCGGAGGAAGGUGGGGAUGACGUCAAGUCAUCAUGCCCCUUAUGUCCAGGGCUUCACGCAUGCUACAAUGGCUGGUACAGAGAGUGGCGAGCCUGUGAGGGUGAGCGAAUCUCGGAAAGCCGGUCUCAGUUCGGAUUGGGGUCUGCAACUCGACCUCAUGAAGUCGGAGUCGCUAGUAAUCGCAGAUCAGCAACGCUGCGGUGAAUACGUUCCCGGGGCU